GACCCCGUAGCUCAGCGGUAGAGCGUGAGAUUCCAGUGGACCCAAUCAUUGUUGCAGUUCUCGAAUCCUCAAGGUCAUCCGUUCAAUCCGGGUCGGGGUCA
This is a non-coding RNA of Rhodocollybia butyracea, 101 nucleotides long. Lineage: Eukaryota; Fungi; Basidiomycota; Agaricomycetes; Agaricales; Omphalotaceae. The record is from the annotation of a GenBank genome assembly.